GAUGAACGCUGGCGGCGUGCCUAAUACAUGCAAGUCGAGCGAAAAGACGAUGAGCUUGCUCCCCUAACGUUAGCGGCUGGCGGGUGAGUAACACGUGCAUAACCUUCCUCUUUUACUGGGAUGAUAUCGUAAAGCCGGAUCUACUACUAGCUCAUAUAUUGUACCGCAUGGUUCAAUAGUGCAUCACAGUUUUCGCGUUUCUUUUAGCUGAUUCCGGGCCGCAUUAGCUAGUUGGUAAGGUAACGGCUUACCAAGGCAACGAUGCGUAGCCGACCUGAGAGGGUGAUCGGCCACACUGGAACUGGGACACGGUCCAGACUCCUACGGGAGGCAGCAGGAGGGAAUCUUCCGCAAUGGGCGAAAGCUUGACGGAACAACGCCGGGGGGGGGAUGGAAGGCUUCCGAUCUGAAAACCCUGUUAGUAGGGAAAAAAAAGUGGCUAAGUAAUUAUGCACUGCUUUACGGUACCUAAUCAGAUAGCCACGGCUAACUACGUU
This 497-nucleotide ribosomal RNA is filed under the name uncultured bacterium. Its description in RNAcentral is "partial 16S ribosomal RNA". It matches the Rfam family "Bacterial small subunit ribosomal RNA", at positions 28 to 507 of the family's 1533-position model. The record is from RNAcentral.